AGGGCACCACCAGGAGUGGAGCCUGCGGCUUAAUUUGACUCAACACGGGGAAACUCACCCGGCCCGGACACCGGAAGGAUUGACAGAUUGAUAGCUCUUUCUUGAUUCGGUGGAUGGUGGUGCAUGGCCGUUCUUAGUUGGUGGAGCGAUCUGUCUGGUUAAUUCCGAUAACGAACGAGACUCUAGCCUAUUAAAUAGACGUCGGGUUCUCUGCACUCGACGGUCUUCUUAGAGGGACAAGGUGCUUUUAGCACCGCGAAACAGAGCAAUAACAGGUCUGUGAUGCCCUUAGAUGUCCGGGGCCGCACGCGCGCUACACUGAAGGAAGCAGCGUGUAACAACCUUGUUCUAACGAACUGGGUAACCCGUGGAACUUCCUUCAUGAUUGGGAUAGGGGUUUGCAAUUGUGCCCCUUGAACGAGGAAUUCCCAGUAAACACUAGUCAUCAGCUAGUGCUGAUUACGUCCCUGCCCUUUGUACACACCGCCCGUCGCUACUACCGAUUGAAUGAAUUAGUGA
RNAcentral lists this ribosomal RNA (519 nucleotides) under uncultured eukaryote. RNAcentral describes it as "SSU rRNA". It matches the Rfam family "Eukaryotic small subunit ribosomal RNA", at positions 1161 to 1704 of the family's 1831-position model. The record is from RNAcentral.